This is a long non-coding RNA of Peromyscus californicus insignis, 4893 nucleotides long. RefSeq lists it as uncharacterized. Lineage: Eukaryota; Metazoa; Chordata; Mammalia; Rodentia; Cricetidae. The record is from RefSeq and is a predicted model, not a curated record. The transcript has 4 exons.
UUCCCACUUUCUAGUUAGUGGGUUUUGUUUUUUUCUGGUUUGGUUGGUUGUUUUUUAUUGUUGUUGUUGUUUUUGUUGUUGUUUGUUGUUAUCAUUUGUUAUUGUUGUUGGUUGUUGCUGUUGUUUCAACUUCGGUCUCGUUACUUUAGCUUUCAGUCCCAGUUUUUUCAAGCUCAUCCCUCAGUUCUUUGGAUGUCGCUUUCUACCCUGUUUCCUCUGGUCGGUUACCCUUCCCAGGUUGCUCCAUCAGUCUCAUGCUCAUCACUGUCAAAUCUGUUUGUGUCACAGAGCUACUGGGACAGUUUGAACACAGAGCACGGGCCCUGUGCUUACAGCAAGGAUGAAUCAUUGUCCACAGGCUCUAAUGGAUAACAUAAAGAAUAAAAUCCCCCACACUUAGGGAUGGCUGACCAUUAGUCCAAAGGUCAUUUAACAAUGAAAACACUGUAUUCUUCAACUCUAAAGCUACUUUCCAUUCUUGCCUUUGACAGGCUUAUUUAAUAAGAUUUUCCUGGGUCUUAAGUUAUGUCCUGCCUGCUCAUUUAUCACUUUCUUCUAAAGGAUUUUACUAAAUUAAUAGGACAUUAACUAAUAUUAAUAGGAUUUUUUUUGUCCUGAAUUUUUUUAAAAAGCAGUAAUAGCAUGUAAAAAUACCACUUAUUGCUGGAAAUAUAGCAUGAAUGUUACAAUGCUGGGGGGAAUAUCUAUGUUAUAGUUACUCUAAUAAAAUGCAAAAAGCUAAGCAUUAUUAUCUUCACUGCAUAAAUAAGAAUACAGAGGCCUAAAGAGGUUGAAUUGAUAGUCCAGUAGCAUAUUACCCUCUAAUUCCCAAAGCCCUAGUCUGACUCCAAAAUAUAUCCCUGCCCACCGUGAUCUGAAAACCUUUUAGCCUGUUAAAUCCAUUUCUAGGCACUGUCGAGAGCACAUGCUCACUACUUCCUGUGCUGACUCCUAAGCAUUUAUCACUAGCUAUGUUGUCUAUAGAUGAAUAAGCUCCAUUGUCACAGCAGGCUGGGCAACCCAGGGGAACACUGGUACCAAGUACCAAACAGGAGCAGCUCAGAGUUCAUCUCACUCACAAGACCUCGUUGCAUUUGGGGCAGCGAUACUUAUCCUACCACAAAUAUUUCUUCUUUUUUCUAAAAGGAAAAGAAAUCAAGAGACUGGGACAUGGCUCAUCCUCACACCUAAGACAUCAACUUCCUUGCUCCUGAAAUCAUAGCACCUACCUACCGAAAAGAAAGCAGAAGUUACUAGAUCAUUCGGUGGCAUUGUAGGUCCCAUUUAACUUUCUGUAAGGUUCACUGUUAUGGUCCAACAGGAAAGAAGUCAUUCCAUCUUUCUCAGCCGAACAAAAGGAAAUCCAUUUGUGAAAAGUUAGAGAGUGAACCACAAGGUGAUUUGAAAAUGAAGAAAGUCUUGGACUGAUGAAACAUUCCCAACUGAAUUUGCCAAGUAGUUUUCUGGACUUUAAAAUACGGUUUCUCAUUAAGACAAUAUUAUGAAUGGAUUAACAACAUAUUUACAUUUGGGAGACAGGAGCCCAGUAGAGGGAGAUCUGUCAACCUACUGCAAAGAACUUUGGGAUUUCUCAAGCCUUUAAAGCAGUGGUUCUCAACCUUCCUAACGCCGCGACCCUUUAACACAGCUCCCCAUGUUGUGGUGACCCCCAGCCAUAAAAUUAUUACGUUGCUACUUCAUGACUGUAAUUUUGCUACUGUUGUGAAUCGUAAAUCGUGCAAAUAUCUGAUACUCAGGAUAUCUGAUAUGCAACCCCAGAGGAGUCUCAGGCCACAGGUUGCGGACCACUGAUUGAGAAGUUGGUAGUGUGGGUUGGUUAUGGCUAGCUUCCAAACUUAUGCACUUCCUAGAGCCAAGAAUCUGAUGGCGACUUCCAACCUAGAGAGUCGGAGAAAGUGAAGGAUAGAAGGAACAGAAGAUAGCUUAUCAUGAAGUAACAAACAAUUAGAGGAGACCAAGAAAUGGGAAGAAGGAGAAACAAAUCCGGUGUUUAAAGAUCAAAGACCACGGUGAGAUUCCAGGAAACAAUGCUUGCCGGUUCCUAAUGUCCCUAAAACCACGUCUGAGGGUGGAUGACCCAGGGAAGCAUCUUCACUCAACGUCUUGUGAAUGGAUCUGCUGGUCACAACAAGGAUGUUGAUGAGCUGAAAGAGUAACUGAAACCAAGCUGGUGGUAAACUUAGAACCAGAAGUCAGCAGCUUCUGCGGUGACUCGUGGGGAUUUUGCAACUGCGCAGACUCCCAUAAUAGCCGACUGCUGUGUCUCACCACAAUAUCUAGCAGCUCCUUUUCAACAUUUGCUUCUAAUUUCUAGCCCAGGAAACAGUGCAUAUACCCCAGGCCUAACAGCACAUGUUUUUAAUCCCAGCACUCUGGAGGCAGAGGCAGAUGGAUCUCUGUGAGUUCAAGGCCAGCCUGGUCUACAGAGAGAGUCCCAAGACAGCCAGGGCUAUAUAGAGAGACCCUGUUUCAAAAAAAGAAGAAAAGAAAGAAAGAAAGAAAGAAAGAAAGAAGGAAGGAAGGAAGGAAGGAAGGAAGGAAGGAAGGAAGGAAGGAAGGAAGGAAGAAAGGGAGGGGGAAGAGAGGGAGGGAGAGAGAAAGAGAGGGAGGAAAGGAGGGAGAGAGAGAGGGAGGGAGGGAAACAGAGUAUGUAUUUAUUGAUCUUAUUGUUUAUCUAAUUGCCUUCUUCCUAAUCACACAAACAUUCAGUAUUCACCAGAACUUUAGGUAAAAAGACAAUUCCUCACUACUAAAUGUAACGGAAGUUAUGUAUAGUUGUAUAAUUAAAACUGAAAAAUACAAAUUAACGUGUUUAAACAUCUCAUUAAUUUGGUACUACAUUCUUUCAUUGUUCCAGGAAAAAAAAUGGAGGACAGCGGAGGCAGCCCAGUGAGUGAAGUACUUGCCACACAAGUGUGAGGACCUGAGUUUGGAUCCCCAGAGCCCACAUACAGCCAGGGGUGGUAACAAAUGCGGCCGUCCCCCGUCCUCCCCGCUCCCCAACAAGAAUCUCAAAGUGGAAGAAAAUCUCUUCUGUCAUCCAGCCAUCUCCAAGCUUCUGGACUUUAGCUGUAACUCGGACCAUAUCCGAAUCAUUCCACCAAGCUUUCAACUGAGGACUAUGUGGACAGUGAGAGUACCGUCAGAAUUGCCAUCAGCAAUGUUUUGCACAGAUGUGCUUGCGGGUCCAAAAACACAACCUUGGCUUUUACAUAAACACCCAAGCUCUGUCUCUAAUGGGACAGCAGGGACAUGCAGGAACAUAGUCUCUGUGAAGACAUCACCUUUCUCUUUGCACAUUUCCCCCCUUAGCUGAGAAAGCCUACCUAAGGACAGACAAAUGAUGGACUGCAGGUCCAUCAGCUUUGCCGACGGUGAAGACGUGUACGCUAAUCAGUUCUACCUCCCUCUACAGAUUGGAGGCCUCUGGGAACAACACAGCCCAUAGCUGUGUUUGUUAGUGCUGCUGCUGGCAUUUAGAAUUUUUCCAAAUUGUUUAGCUAUUUGUAAAAAAAAAAAUGUACAAGUCCAACUUCCACUUUAACAUCUAGCUUUCUUGAUGCUUGUAGGAAAAUCAGUUCUGCACGUUCUAGGUUUGCCAACCACAAGGCUGCAUUUAAUUGAGCCAAUCAGCAAGGGCCUCCCAGGCUCCCUAAAUCCUCUCUACCCUCUGUUGUCCACUGAGGCUGAGACCAAGUGUCCCUUAUCAUUCCAUGAUGUGCCUUUCCCGCUUUGGGAGGUUUAGGAGGAACAUGUAGGGUCUCUUUCCUAAGCAGGGAGGGAAUCUGAUGACUGUUUGCGGACAUUUCCUCUGCCAGCCCCCACCUCAGAUUUGUUGGGUGGUCCUCUGCCAUCACAGGUUCAAAGGCUAAGGAGGCUCUUUCAAGGUACAGAGCCCAAGAGUGGUCCUACAUGUAGAUUAGAUAAGGGGGAAGACAAGGCAACUACCCUGCUUCCUCAAGCCUCCCCUCACAUGCUCACUCAAAAGGGAGGCUCAAACUGCAAGACAGAUUUCAUCUCUCACCAGGGCACAAAGCAGUCUGUCGAGAAUUGCUGGGCUAACAAGGGACUAUUUGUUCUCAUUCAUAGUACCCUUAAAUGUCUAUAUGACUACCAGGUUUCCAAUUUCUUCUGACUUCUGUGUUUUUCUUUCAUAAGAAGCUCUCAGGCAGGACAGAUAGCUCAGCGGAUCAAACUGUUGGCACAUAAGCGUAGGAACUAGAGUUCAGAUCCCCAGCAACCAUAGGGCAGCCCACCUGUCAUCGCAGGGCUGGUGAGACAGAGACAAGAGCCACAAGAUACAACUGGGUAGCCAGAUGAGCUCCUGAUUGCGUGGGAGAUUCUGCCUUAGUAAAUAAAAGGAAGAGUGGUAGAGGAGAAUGGCCAAUACCAACCUCUGGUCUCUACACACACACAAACACAUCCAUCUGCAUCUGCACACCCAUGCUUCCUACACACACACACACACACACACACACACACACACACACAUAUACACACACACACACACAUACACACACACCCCUGUAAAAAAUAGUUCUCAAUACAAUGGUAUUCACUAAUGAAUUACUUGGGUCAAUGUGUUUUGACAUUUCCUUUGGUAUAGUCUAGGAAGAUUAAGAAAAAUAUAAGUGAAAUAAGUAAGGCCCAUUUCUUUCCUUCUGUACACUAUAGAGAGUAUAGUGUCACACUCUGUCCUGCUUUCUCUUCCUGUUACUCUGAGUUUGUUAACUACAACUGGGGACAUCUGACUUCUCCACGUAGUCUUCCAGAAAUCACACAUACUCCCCACUGUGAGCUUUUCAGAAUAGUUUCCUGUGUGUCAUUUAUAGCAUUUGAAUAAAAUAAAGUCAUAAUGAAGUUGGUUUUUUA